GGUGAUAUGAACCGAUAUAACCGGCGAUUACCGAAUGGGGAAACCUAGUGUGUUUCGACACAAUAUCAUUAAAUGAAUCAAUAGGUUAAUGAGGGGAACCGGGGGAACUGAAACAUCUAAGAACCCCGAGGAAAAGAAAUCAACCGAGAUUGACCCAGAAGCGGCGAGCGAAAGGGGAGGAGCCCAGAGCCUGAAUCAGCGUGUGUGGUGGCUCUUAUACACAUCU
This 226-nucleotide ribosomal RNA is filed under the name Escherichia coli. RNAcentral's name for it is "partial 23S ribosomal RNA". It matches the Rfam family "Bacterial large subunit ribosomal RNA", at positions 85 to 321 of the family's 2925-position model. Lineage: Bacteria; Pseudomonadati; Pseudomonadota; Gammaproteobacteria; Enterobacterales; Enterobacteriaceae. The record is from RNAcentral.